GGCCUCAUGGUGGAGUGGUCAACACGUCUGACUUUCACUCAGAAGAUCGCCGGUUCGAACCCGGCUGAGGUCACCA
This 76-nucleotide transfer RNA is filed under the name Deinococcus sp. RM. RNAcentral's name for it is "tRNA-Glu". It matches the Rfam family "tRNA". Rfam says of the family: Transfer RNA (tRNA) molecules are approximately 80 nucleotides in length. Their secondary structure includes four short double-helical elements and three loops (D, anti-codon, and T loops). The record is from RNAcentral. Lineage: Bacteria; Thermotogati; Deinococcota; Deinococci; Deinococcales; Deinococcaceae.